GUGCUUGAAAUUGUCGGGAG
RNAcentral lists this small nuclear RNA (20 nucleotides) under Arabidopsis thaliana (thale cress). RNAcentral's name for it is "snRNA_05034". Lineage: Eukaryota; Viridiplantae; Streptophyta; Magnoliopsida; Brassicales; Brassicaceae. The record is from RNAcentral.